UGCGUAGGCGGAAUAUUAAGUCAGUGGUGAAAUCCUGCGGCUCAACCGUAGAACUGCCAUUGAUACUGAUAUUCUUGAAUGUAGUUGAGGUAGGCGGAAUGUGUAAUGUAGCGGUGAAAUGCUUAGAUAUUACACAGAGCACCGAUUGCGAAGGCAGCUUACUAAACUAUGAUUGACGCUGAUGCACGAAAGCGUGGGGAGCGAACAGGAUUAGAUACCCUGGUAGUCC
Molecule: ribosomal RNA, 229 nt
Filed under: uncultured bacterium
Lineage: Bacteria
Description: partial 16S ribosomal RNA
Rfam family: Bacterial small subunit ribosomal RNA
Source: RNAcentral